AUCCGGGUUGCGGACAGUGUCUGGUGGGUAGUUUGACUGGGGCGGUCUCCUCCUAAAGAGUAACGGAGGAGCACGAAGGUUGGCUAAUCCUGGUCGGACAUCAGGAGGUUAGUGCAAUGGCAUAAGCCAGCUUGACUGCGAGCGUGACGGCGCGAGCAGGUGCGAAAGCAGGUCAUAGUGAUCCGGUGGUUCUGAAUGGAAGGGCCAUCGCUCAACGGAUAAAAGGUACUCCGGGGAUAACAGGCUGAUACCGCCCAAGAGUUCAUAUCGACGGCGGUGUUUGGCACCUCGAUGUCGGCUCAUCACAUCCUGGGGCUGAAGUAGGUCCCAAGGGUAUGGCUGUUCGCCAUUUAAAGUGGUACGCGAGCUGGGUUUAGAACGUCGUGAGACAGUUCGGUCCCUAUCUGCCGUGGGCGCUGGAGAACUGAGGGGGGCUGCUCCUAGUACGAGAGGACCGGAGUGGACGCAUCACUGGUGUUCGGGUUGUCAUGCCAAUGGCACUGCCCGGUAGCUAAAUGCGGAAGAGAUAAGUGCUGAAAGCAUCUAAGCACGAAACUUGCCCCGAGAUGAGUUCUCCCUGACUCCUUGAGAGUCCUGAAGGAACGUUGAAGACGACGACGUUGAUAGGCCGGGUGUGUAAGCGCAGCGAUGCGUUGAGCUAACCGGUACUAAUGAACCGUGAGGCUUAACCUU
RNAcentral lists this ribosomal RNA (693 nucleotides) under Escherichia coli. RNAcentral's name for it is "partial 23S ribosomal RNA". It matches the Rfam family "Bacterial large subunit ribosomal RNA", at positions 2238 to 2925 of the family's 2925-position model. Lineage: Bacteria; Pseudomonadati; Pseudomonadota; Gammaproteobacteria; Enterobacterales; Enterobacteriaceae. The record is from RNAcentral. RNAcentral also lists the same sequence under 13 other names.